RNAcentral lists this ribosomal RNA (459 nucleotides) under Euphyllura canariensis. RNAcentral describes it as "partial small subunit ribosomal RNA". Lineage: Eukaryota; Metazoa; Arthropoda; Insecta; Hemiptera; Liviidae. The record is from RNAcentral.
UUAUCAUAUUGAUUUUACUUUUAAUUUAAUUUUUUUAAAACAUUCAGUUUAUAAUUAUUUUAUUUUUAUCUGUGAAGGGGAGAUCACAUUUAAAUUUAUUAUAAAGUAUAAUUACUGUACCUUUUGUAUCAGGGUUAAUUUAAAUUUAAUUAAAAAUUUAGUUUUCUCGAAAGGAAAAGAUUUAAGGUAAUUUUCUUUUAGUGUAGAAAAAUUAAGAAAUAAAUUGCUUUAGGUUUGAUAAAAAUUUAGCUUUUUUAUAUCUAGUUACUUUGUGUUAUGAUUUAAUCAUUUAAAUAUUUGUAUUUUAUCUAUAAAUAUAAAUUAUAGUUAUGGGGAUAAGCUUGUAAUUAAUUUUAUAGUUAAGAAUUUAUAUUUAUUCAUUUAGUAUGCUUAGAAUUAGCUAAUUUUAGUAUGUAAAAAUUAUAUUAAUUAUAUUAAUAUUUUUGAAUAACUUUAAGG